AAUAGCCUAACGGCUGAACCAGCAACUUGGAAGAAUGUAUAGCAAUUGCUAGUUGUUUCUAUCAACAAAAAAAUGAAGCAAUAUCGAUUUGAUCGAAUAAAAUUCUGGGUAAAGUAAUGAUAAUGACAUUGUUUACCCAUGAGUCUUGACCAAGUUACGUGCCAGCAGUCGCGGUAAUACGUAGAAGACUAGUGUUAUUCAUCUUUAAUGGGUUUAAAGGGUACCUAGACGGCAUAUUAAGCCUUAACUGGAACUGAUAUGCUAGAGUUACUUAUGAGGAAGUUCUAAGGUACUAGAGGAGUAGAGAUAAAAUUCAAUCAUACCUUUUUUCUUAGGAAAAACUUCGGCACAGGUAUAGGUGAAAACAUCUUCUUAUGAGAUAACUGACGUUGAGGGACGAAGGCUUUUUUUAACGAACAGGAUUAGAUACCCUGGUAGUCAAGGCAGUAAACGCUGAGUGUCAUAGAUUAGGUAUAAAUUUAUUCUAUAAAUGAAAGUGUAAGCACUCCACCUCAAGAGUAAUUUGGCAACAUUGGAACUGAAAUCAUUAGACCGUAUCUGAAACCAGUAGUGAAGUAUGUUAUUUAAUUUGAUAAUCCGCAAAAAACCUUACCACAACUUGAAUAUUUAUAUACUUAUUUAUAUGAUAUGUUUAUGCAUAGCUUUGUGUAUAACAAGUUGCAUUUUAUGCAUUAUUAUGUAUAGAUAAUAGUAUACUGAUACAAGUGUUGCACGGCUGUCUCAAGUUAAUGUCGUAAGAUUAUGGUUAGCUCCGUUAAAUUAACGCAAACCCUUGCUCUAUUUUUAAAUAGAGUAGUUCUCCACCACAUUGGAUAAGAUAACAGGGAACAAGACAAGUCAUCAUGGCCUUAAUGUUGUGGGCUAUCGACGUGCCACGUGAGCCUUUACAAAAGGAUGUGAAAUUAAAAAAUUGAGCUAAUCCCACAAAAUUGGCUAUAUGUUUUUAAU
RNAcentral lists this ribosomal RNA (969 nucleotides) under Micarea sp. RNAcentral describes it as "SSU rRNA". It matches the Rfam family "Bacterial small subunit ribosomal RNA", at positions 370 to 1299 of the family's 1533-position model. Lineage: Eukaryota; Fungi; Ascomycota; Lecanoromycetes; Lecanorales; Micareaceae. The record is from RNAcentral.